RNAcentral lists this ribosomal RNA (400 nucleotides) under uncultured bacterium. RNAcentral describes it as "bacterial SSU rRNA". It matches the Rfam family "Bacterial small subunit ribosomal RNA", at positions 355 to 772 of the family's 1533-position model. The record is from RNAcentral.
UGGGGAAUAUUGGACAAUGGGCGCAAGCCUGAUCCAGCAAUACCGCGUGAGUGAUGAAGGUCUUCGGAUUGUAAAGCUCUUUUAGUAGGGAAGAUAAUGACGGUACCUACAGAAAAAGCACCGGCAAACUUCGUGCCAGCAGCCGCGGUAAUACGAAGGGUGCUAGCGUUGUUCGGAAUUACUGGGCGUAAAGCGUACGUAGGCGGUUUAGUAAGUCGAUUGUGAAAGCCCCAGGCUCAACUUGGGAACUGCAGUCGAAACUGCUUUACUAGAAUCUGAUGGGGGAUAGUGGAAUUCCUAGUGUAGGGGUGAAAUCCGUAGAUAUUAGGAGGAACACCAGUGGCGAAGGCGACUAUCUAUGUCAGUAUUGACGCUGAGGUACGAAAGCGUGGGGAGCAAA